GAAAUAGAAGAACAAUGAAAGAAAGUUGAUGUGUAGUAUUACUUUUGUUUUUGAUAAUGGAAGUUACCUUCACUAAGCCAGUUACUUGUUUUAGGUUUUUAGUUGAGUUUUAUUGCUGAGAUAUAAGUACUUUAUUUCCUUGUCAUUUUAUAUUUUAAAUUUGUCAAUUCUUGGUCUGCAUUUAUGAUUGGUGUUGCAUUCUAUGGUUACUAUCCAGCAAAUAUGUGCUAUUCUUUAAGAAGUUGAUUUUAUGGUUCGAUUACUUGAUGUUUUUUUGUGUGCUUUGUGGCUGUGAUUCCUCUGGCUAAUGCCUUGAUGGCUGCAGAGAUAUUAUUUCUUUUUAAUUGGAUUUCAUAUUCCCUUUCUGUAGCUUCUUUGUGAGUGCUUGGGGUAACUGUAUUAUGUAAAUGGAUAGGCUACCUAGUUUC
Molecule: unclassified non-coding RNA, 428 nt
Filed under: Hevea brasiliensis (rubber tree)
Lineage: Eukaryota; Viridiplantae; Streptophyta; Magnoliopsida; Malpighiales; Euphorbiaceae
Source: RNAcentral